UACGUAGGGGGCAAGCGUUGUCCGGAUUUAUUGGGCGUAAAGAGCGUGUAGGCGGCUAGGUAGGUCCGUUGUGAAAACUCGAGGCUCAACCUCGAGACGCCGAUGGAAACCAUCUAGCUAGAGUCCGGAGGAGGAGAGUGGAAUUCCUGGUGUAGCGGUGAAAUGCGCAGAUAUCAGGAGGAACACCAAUUGCGAAGGCAGCUCGCUGGGACGUGACUGACGCUGAGACGCGAAAGCGUGGGGAGCAAACAGG
RNAcentral lists this ribosomal RNA (253 nucleotides) under uncultured bacterium. Its description in RNAcentral is "partial 16S ribosomal RNA". It matches the Rfam family "Bacterial small subunit ribosomal RNA", at positions 524 to 776 of the family's 1533-position model. The record is from RNAcentral.